This is an RNA transcript of Canis lupus familiaris (dog), 4711 nucleotides long. It is a transcript of the gene named methyl-CpG binding domain protein 1, with no coding region annotated. The record is from RefSeq and is a predicted model, not a curated record. NCBI's taxonomy places the organism in Eukaryota, Metazoa, Chordata, Mammalia, Carnivora, Canidae. The transcript has 18 exons.
AGCGGGUUUCCGGUUCCGGGAGCAACGAACGGCCGCGGCAGCGACAGCUACCGCUUCAGAGGAAGCGUCUGCGGAGGAGGAAGAAGAGCAGGGCAAGGCGGGAGUCACAGGCGGGACCCUCGGCAUGGGUCCACGGACCUAGAGCGGCGGAAGCUACCGGCCCGGUGCCAAGCUGGCCGCUGCUCCUUCCCAUGGCCCCCAUGGCUGAGGACUGGCUGGAUUGCCCAGCCUUGGGCCCUGGCUGGAAGCGCCGUGAGGUCUUUCGAAAAUCAGGUGCCACCUGUGGACGCUCAGACACCUAUUACCAGAGCCCCACAGGAGACAGGAUCCGAAGCAAAGUUGAGCUGACCCGAUACCUGGGCCCUGCGUGUGACCUCACCCUCUUCGACUUCAAACAAGGCAUUCUGUGCUAUCCAGCCCCUAAGGCCCCGUCCUUAGAUGUCCCUGGCAGGAAGCGGAAGAAGCCUUCACGGCCAGCCAAGACUCAGAAACGUCAGGUUGGACCCCAGAAGGGUGAAGUCAGGAAGGAGGCCCCAGGAGAUGAGACCAAGGCUGUUGCUGACACAGCUCUAGCUUCACUCCCUGCACCUGGGUGCUGUGAAAACUGUGGAAUCAGCUUCUCAGGAGAUGGUACCCGAAGACAGCGGCUCAAGACGUUAUGCAAGGACUGCCGAGCGCAGAGAAUUGCUUUCAAUAGGGAGCAAAGGAUGUUUAAGCGUGUGGGCUGCGGGGAGUGUGCGGCCUGCCAGGUAACCGAGGACUGUGGGGCCUGCUCCACCUGCCUUCUGCAGCUGCCCCAUGAGGUGGCCUCGGGGCUGUUCUGCAAAUGUGAGCGGAGACGGUGCCUCAGGAUUGUGGAAAGGAGCCGAGGGUGUGGAGUGUGCCGGGGCUGUCAGACACGAGAGGACUGUGGCCAUUGUCGAGUCUGCCUUCGCCCUCCCCGCCCUGGUCUCAGGCGCCAGUGGAGGUGCGUCCAGCGGCGCUGCUUACGGCACCUUGCCCACCGUCUCCGUCGCCACCAUCAGCGAUGUCAACGACGUCCUCCCCUAGCCGUGGCUCCCCCUGCUGGUAAACGUAGCCGCCGUAGAGGAGGCUGUGACUCCAAGAUGGCUGCCCGGCGGCGCUCCCGAACCCAGCCACUGCCUCCAGUUCCCCCAUCACAGCCUCCAGAGUCCCCAGAGCUGCACCCCAGAGCCCUGGCCCCCUCGCCACCUGCCGAGUUCAUCUAUUACUGUGUAGACGAGGACGAGCUACAGCCUUACACGAACCGCCGGCAGAACCGCAAGUGUGGGGCCUGUGCCGCCUGCCUACGCCGGAUGGACUGUGGUCACUGCGACUUCUGCUGUGACAAGCCCAAAUUUGGGGGCAACAACCAGAAGCGCCAGAAGUGUCGUUGGCGCCAAUGCCUACAGUUUGCCAUGAAGCGGCUGCUGCCUAGCGUCUGGGCAGGAUCUGAGGAUGGGGCAGGGCCACCACCAUCUUACUCUCGUCGAAAGAGACCUGGUUCUACUCGACGGCCUCGUCUGGGCCAGAUACUGAAGACCUCCUUGACUACACCCACAGCCCUAUCAGGCUGUGCCCAGACUCCAGUGAAACAGGAAACGGACAGUGGCUUUGUGCUCCCCCCACCUGGCACCGACCUUGUGUUCUUACGGGAAGGUGCAGGCAGUCCUGUGCAGGUGCCUGGCCCUGCUGCAACUUCCACAGAAGCCCUGUUGCAGGAGGCCCAGUGCCCUGGCCUGAGUUGGGUUGUGGCCUUACCCCAGGUGAAGCAAGAGAAGGCGGAUGCCCAGGAAGACUGGACACCGGGCACAGCCAUCCUGACUUCUCCUGUAUUGCUGUCUGGCUGCCCCAGCAAGGCAGUAGACCCAGGCCUGCCACCUGUGAAGCAAGAGCCACUGGACCCUGAGGAGGACAAGGAGGAAGAGAACAAGGAUGAUUCCGCCUCCGACUCGGCCCCAGAGGAGGAGGCAGGAGGGGCUGGCACACCCGUGAUCACGGAGAUUUUCAGCCUGGGUGGAACCCGCCUCCGGGACACAGCAGUCUGGUUGCCAAGUCUGCAGGGCAGGCAAUCAGGAAGGGAAGAUGGAUAUAAAGUGUGGGAGACGGAGGACACUUUGGCGUGCACGAGAACGAGCUGGAACCAGCGAGGAUGGCCUAGAACCCAUGUCAGUGUCUCACCACCUCCAACUUCGAUGAUGUGGGUGUCCUGCAGAAGAAGCUGGUGCCCUUCAUCACAGAGUUAAAUACUCAUCUGGUCCAGGAAUUAGAGAAGCUGGAGGAAGAUCCCAGGGAAAGUGGAGCAGCUGCAGGCCUGGCUGCAGGCCUCACUGCUGCCCACACCCAACGAGGCUACGUAAACUCUUAGCAGUAAAUGAAAAUGAGUAUUUUACCGAACUGCAAUUGAAAGAAGAAGCAUUAUAGGAGAAAAAAAAGACAAAAUGAGAAUUAUUAAAAGAGAUUAUUAAAAAGAAAAAAGAGACAUUAUUUUGUGGCUGAAAAGCUGAACCAGCAAUUCAGGAAACGGAAUCCAAAUGUAGAAGCGUACCGCAUACAAAAUCCGAAGUGGGUGGAUUACAAAUGAUUGAGGAAUGCUAAUUUACAGUAAAUUACGGCCCUGCGACGGUAUACACAGUAGAUGUACUUCGGUUAUUGUUAGAUGUCAGUGACUGACUAGGUUCCGAAUUUUUUCUAUGCGCUAGUGUGUGCUCGCCCCCACUUUAGAAGGAGAGUACCAAAGCGUCAUUCUUUAUUGGUUUUUAGUUACUGGUCUUGGUCUUGACCUUGGUCUUGGUCUUGACCAGAAAGUACCGCUGUGGACUCCACCUGUGCCAAGGGCCCCUUCUAGGUUCCCUGAGCUGUGUUGCCUGGUCCUUUCCUCGGAUACGGAUUCUCAGGGCCUCAUUACCUGCGCUUCUCAUCCGUGUCCUGACCCUGGUUUACUGUGAACGGUAACUCAGACUCUUGAUCUUUAUUUUGCCCAGCCAGGUCAUGUCAUUGCCCUCUUAGCCCAUCUGACUUGUCCCCCAUUCUAGGGUAUCUGGAGUCAGCUCUGGUUUCUGCCCAAUGCAGUAGGAAGAUUUUAUUUGUAAUAGAUUUAUCAUUACUGAUUUGGGUGGGCUGAUAAGACAGGCUCUCCAGGCCUUGUUUUAGCUGGAAAAUGAGGAUAAUAAUGCCUGCUGCAUCAACCAACCCUCUAAGAUAUUUGUGAGGUCCAAAGGUUUUAUGUGUGGAAAUACCUUGCAAGUUACUGUAAAGAACACAAGUAUAAGGUGGUUUGUCCUGUGAUGAUUAUUACCAUCAUCAAGAUUCACCUAGAAAUGGCCGCAAAAUGUAACCUUCCCGCAGAAGAUCCACUAACUUUUCUCAUACUUUUAGGCCGAUUUCAGGAUAUAAUAGCAGUCAGUUGGAAUGUAAUUAGAUCUUCGCCUUCACUUCGGGUUAAGGAGGCUUAUUUCUGCUAUUCUGAUGAACUCUAGAGGAAGGGAGCAAGGUCGCCGGAGGCCUGGCCAAGGGCGGGGUGAGGACCGCGCAGACUCAGCUCCUCCGCUCUGGGAGGAAGUUACGAGCACCAGCGUCUGUGGUCACCAUGGUGACGGGACCGACUUCGGCCCCUCCCACCUGCCCCUCACCCUGCAGGGUGCACCAUGGCAACCAGACGUCUGCAUUGCGGAAGCUGGCCCCCGCAGGUCUCCACGGUUGGGAAACUGGCGGACGCCGCCCCCAUCCCGAGGGACUCAAAAUGUACAGCCAGCGAUUUGGCAUCGUACAGCGGGAGGUUAAGGGCCCCACUCCCAAAGUGGUGAUCGUAGUAAGCGCGGGCUGUGUGUGCGGGACCCUACCGCUUUCUGCCUCUCCCUGCACUCCAGGCCCAGCCCAGCCCAAACUGGCCCCAGCGCGGGGCGCUCUCUAGGGGAGCAGGUGCCUGAUGCCCGGGGUUUAAUUUUGAAAGGGAAAGCUAAGACCACUCAUCUGGCUCCUGUACUUUGUUCCUCAACCCCCUAACCUCUACUCUCCCACCCCCACCUUGCAUCAGUUAUAUUUAGAUGCUGCAUUUGUAGAAUCACCACUUGGGAUACUGAGACUUUUCAGUCUCCAAGAUACCCGAAGGAGGUCUCUCCCCUUGUGAUGUGGUGUGGCUGUCACAGAAAGGGCGCUUGGCUGGGGUGGCGCAGGAAAUCAGGUCUGGGCUGGUGGUGAUUCAGCUGUAUGAUCUUGCGCUGGUCCUGCAUUCCCAGGGAAAUCAUAGGAGGAAGGGGAAUUGGACUGUGAGGGGUUGUGAGCAGUUGUAGUGUCCUUCCUGUGCCAACUCAGCUGUAACAGAGGUAUCCCUGCAGGCCUGCAAGAGGACAACUGGUUACCUCUAAUGCUGGGGUGGGUGGUAGGAGGCCAGGAGAAUGCUUUGUGCUUCACAAUCUGAUGGGUCUUGCUCAGAACCCCAGACACUUGGCCUAUGCACCUAGAUUCCUUUGCUCCUGCAAACUAGUUUCUACAGGCUAGAAAAUCUUCACGUGUAACGAGGCAAUUAUAGAGGUAUUGCUUGAGCCCCUGCUGUGUCCUCAGCACUGUGGGAGAUACAGGGGUAAAUACACUGACCCUGGGAAGUUUAUUUUUCAUUAAAAGUCUGAUCCCUGCCUUACUGUUCUUAUUAUCUUAUCGCAGAAACAGUUUGUUCAUGCGUAAAAACAUUAAAGGCUAACGUGGUAGAUAA